UACGAAGGGGGCUAGCGUUGCUCGGAAUCACUGGGCGUAAAGGGUGCGUAGGCGGGUUCUUAAGGCAGAGGUGAAAUCCUGGAGCUCAACUCCAGAACUGCCUUUGAUACUGAGAGUCUUGAGUUCGGGAGAGGUGAGUGGAACUGCGAGUGUAGAGGUGAAAUUCGUAGAUAUUCGCAAGAACACCAGUGGCGAAGGCGGCUCACUGGCCCGAUACUGACGCUGAGGCACGAAAGCGUGGGGAGCAAACAGG
This 253-nucleotide ribosomal RNA is filed under the name uncultured bacterium. RNAcentral describes it as "partial 16S ribosomal RNA". It matches the Rfam family "Bacterial small subunit ribosomal RNA", at positions 524 to 776 of the family's 1533-position model. The record is from RNAcentral.